GGAGUGGUAGUUCAGCUGGUUAGAACGCCUGCCUGUCACGCAGGAGGUCGCGGGUUCGAGUCCCGUCCAUUCCG
RNAcentral lists this transfer RNA (74 nucleotides) under Cytophaga sp. Its description in RNAcentral is "tRNA-Asp". It matches the Rfam family "tRNA". From Rfam's summary of the family: Transfer RNA (tRNA) molecules are approximately 80 nucleotides in length. Their secondary structure includes four short double-helical elements and three loops (D, anti-codon, and T loops). RNAcentral also lists the same sequence under 4 other names. The record is from RNAcentral. Lineage: Bacteria; Pseudomonadati; Bacteroidota; Cytophagia; Cytophagales; Cytophagaceae.